Long non-coding RNA from Colias croceus (clouded yellow), 330 nucleotides. RefSeq lists it as uncharacterized. The transcript is spliced from 2 exons. NCBI's taxonomy places the organism in Eukaryota, Metazoa, Arthropoda, Insecta, Lepidoptera, Pieridae. The record is from RefSeq and is a predicted model, not a curated record.
GCCGUUUCGGAGGAGUAUGCAGACUAACAUUGUGACACGGGAUUUUAUAUAUAAGAAGUUACAAUCGACUAUUCCAUUUAUAAGUUAGUUAAUCAGGAAAUAUAGAAAUAGUGGUAAAGUAGUCGACUGAACGUCUCGUUAAUAUUAUUUUUGGAAUAAUUAAUCACGUUUAAAAUCCAUUUAGGUAUUUUACACACAUCAACAAAGUCUAGGGAUAUUUGGUAUUGCAUUAAAUAUCUCAAAAUCUAUGGAGAAUUUUGUGAUAUUGUAAAUGGAAUAAUUAUAGCUCAUUUUAAAGUCUUUAGUAAAAAGUAAAAACAAUUCAUGAUU